This 276-nucleotide long non-coding RNA is filed under the name Malus domestica (apple). RNAcentral's name for it is "long non-coding RNA (MDOM_LNC019507)". Lineage: Eukaryota; Viridiplantae; Streptophyta; Magnoliopsida; Rosales; Rosaceae. The record is from RNAcentral.
UGUUAACUAAGUUCUUGAUGAUCAUGGUUCAAAUUUGAUCCAAUUAUAUCAUUGGGUCGGGAAACUAACAAAAAAUCUAAUUCAAAACAAUAAGGGAAACAAGACAAUAUUUUUGGAUUUUUUUAAAUUUUCCGAUUUUUUUUUUUUUUUUUUUUUUUUUUUUUUUUUUUUUUAAGAAAACAAAAACUAACAACACAGAAACAAAAUGAAAUUCUAGAGAUUUCUACCCCCACACUUAAACUUGACAUUGUCCCCAAUGUCAGAAAACACUAUAAU